UGUUCUGUGGCUUAGUUGGUUAAAGCGUUGUUCUAGCGAAUACGGAGUUGUGGGUUCGAAUGCCACCAGAACGC
Molecule: non-coding RNA, 74 nt
Organism: Aedes albopictus (Asian tiger mosquito)
Lineage: Eukaryota; Metazoa; Arthropoda; Insecta; Diptera; Culicidae
Source: Rfam